Molecule: long non-coding RNA, 1262 nt
Organism: Mytilus trossulus (common blue mussel)
Lineage: Eukaryota; Metazoa; Mollusca; Bivalvia; Mytilida; Mytilidae
Exons: 2
Source: RefSeq, a predicted model, not a curated record
GGCCUGCCUUCAAUAAUGAGAAAACACUUCCUUUAUAGGUCAUUCAUUAAAGAUCCCAACAUAUAAAGAUUUAAACAAUCCAAUUUAUUUCAACAUGUUCUGUUCAAAGGCAAUAACAAUUAAUAAAAAAAAAUCAUGCCUAAUAUAAAAUAUUGUUUGUUUCUCCAAUCUCGACCGACCCUGCAAAAAUGGUCCUACUCAUAAAAUUUUAUUGUCAAAACUAAGCCAAAUAUUAUUAUAUUCAUUUCUGAUUUUUCGGGCUUACCUGAUCAUCAGAUAAUAUUCAGGCUUUUGGGAAAAAUAAAAUUAUUUACCUACCUACCUACCCACACCUGGCUUGUCAGAAUAGGGAUUAGGGAAACAAACAAUAUAUUAAUUUAGGCCUCAUGUCUGUGAGCACUCAACCUGACCAUAAUAUAGGACAGUGGUUCAAAUAUUAACACAACAUAUGAACAUUCUAUAACAACUAUUGCAAGUGGCUCAACUUUAAAUAUCCCUGCAAGGCACUAAACAAAGAAUAUUAAAUCUUUUACACAAAGCACUGAAAUAAGAGAACUCAUAAGCAUGACAAGUCAGAUAUCUUGGUUUUUAUGAUCAUCAACAGGUCCUGCAGGUCUAUACUGAAGAGGAAUUUUAAUUGUUAAUACUUUUCUACAUAAUGUGCUAAUUGGAUUACUAAUGUGAAAUGAACUCAACUGUGUGUUUUUCUGGAAAAAGAAAUAGAAAAAAAUCCUACAAAAUUGCUAUAAACAAAAUGGAGUACUAUCAAAGAACACAAUUGUGUAAAAUGUAACAACCUACAUUCAUAUUCACUGAUGGAUUAUGGAGAAAUUAAGAAAAAUAAUAGUGUCUUUGUCAUGUUUGUUGUCGAAAUAAACACCUGCUUUAUCCAUUCAUGUACAUGGCUCCAUCAUAUCAAAUAUACAAAGAAGAUGUUUGAAGAACAUGUUGCAAAAAAUUUAUUCAACAAAUUGAAGGAAGAUGUCUUGUGGAUUGAAUUAUUUAUGCACUGAACUGUUAUGUAGGGGGUUGAAUACACAUCAGCUGUAACAGAAGACAAGUUAAUUUGACAUGAAAAGUGUUUAUUUUAUUUAAUAUUCAAAUAUGAGCACAAUAUUAAUAACAUCACAAAUGGUAUGCUAUUCAUAGCGUUUUGCUUAUUAUUGUAUGGUCUUAAACAUGCUAAACAUUCAGCCUUUUGUUUUUGUAUGUUAAAUACUCACCAUGAAAAUUUGUAUUACAGUAUUAAAGUUUUAAUUAUC